This 253-nucleotide ribosomal RNA is filed under the name uncultured bacterium. Its description in RNAcentral is "partial 16S ribosomal RNA". It matches the Rfam family "Bacterial small subunit ribosomal RNA", at positions 524 to 776 of the family's 1533-position model. The record is from RNAcentral.
UACGUAGGUGGCAAGCGUUGUCCGGAUUUACUGGGUGUAAAGGGCGUGCAGCCGGGCUGACAAGUCAGAUGUGAAAUCCCGCGGCUCAACCGCGGAACUGCAUUUGAAACUGUCAGUCUUGAGUACCGGAGAGGUCAUCGGAAUUCCUUGUGUAGCGGUGAAAUGCGUAGAUAUAAGGAAGAACACCAGUGGCGAAGGCGGAUGACUGGACGGCAACUGACGGUGAGGCGCGAAAGCGUGGGGGGCAAACAGG